AAAUUGGGAAAGAAGGUGAGAAAAGGUUGAAAGCACGCGACCACAAUGCAGUGAAGGUGAAGGGAAAAUGAUGGUGGUUGUUGUUCUUACAGAUGCCUGGCGCGGCUCGCUUAUGAGACCCUUUCGUUUCCACAACUACCCUUUUUCCCACACGCCCUCUCUCUCCACUUCUAAUUAUAUUGCUUUCUCUCUCUAACAUUGUCGGAGAACACACACUCUUUUUUUUUCUCUCUCUCUCUCUUCUUCACACUUUCUUUCUCGAGCAACUGAAUUCGUCUCCGAUUCGCUCUCCUCUGCGUCUCUCUGUUACAACGCUGCUUCCCCAUGGAAGCAGGGGAAGAUUGCUGCGUUAAGGUCGCGGUCCAUGUUCGGCCACUCAUCGCCGAUGAGAAGCUUCAAGGAUGCAAAGAUUGCGUCACCGUCGUUUCUGGGAAGCCGCAGGUACAAAUUGGUGCUCACUCCUUUACAUUUGAUCAUGUUUAUGGAAGCACUGGUUCUCCCUCAAGUGCCAUGUUUGAAGAAUGUGUUGCUCCCCUUGUUGAUGGUUUGUUUCAAGGAUAUAACGCUACUGUUCUCGCUUAUGGUCAGACAGGUUCUGGGAAAACGUACACCAUGGGAACUGGCUUUAAAGAUGGUUGCCAAACAGGAAUAAUACCUCAAGUUAUGAACGUUUUGUUUAGCAAAAUUGGGACCCUAAAGCACCAGAUUGAUUUUCAGUUGCAUGUGUCUUUUAUUGAGAUUCUUAAAGAAGAAGUAAGAGACUUGUUGGACCCCUCGUCCAUGAACAAACCAGAAACUGCAAAUGGACAUUCAGGAAAAAUUACCUCUCCUGGGAAGCCACCAAUACAAAUUCGUGAGACAUCAAAUGGUGUCAUCACCCUUGCAGGAUCCACUGAAGUCAGUGUUACAACACUAAAGGAAAUGGCUGCUUGCCUGGAACAGGGAUCAUUGAGCAGGGCAACUGGGAGCACAAAUAUGAACAACCAAUCCAGUCGAUCUCAUGCCAUCUUCACCAUCACCCUAGAACAAAUGCGAAAGCUGAAUAGUCCUGGUGAGAGUGGUUUAAAUGAUACCAUGAAUGAAGAGUAUCUUUGUGCCAAGUUACACUUAGUAGAUCUUGCUGGAUCAGAACGAGCUAAAAGAACAGGGUCUGAUGGUCUGCGUUUUAAGGAAGGAGUUCACAUUAACAAAGGCCUUCUAGCCCUUGGCAAUGUUAUUAGUGCACUUGGUGAUGAAAAGAAGCGAAAGGAAGGUGUUCAUGUUCCUUAUAGGGAUAGUAAGCUUACUAGGCUUUUGCAGGAUUCACUAGGAGGUAACAGCAGAACUGUCAUGAUUGCUUGUAUAAGUCCUGCUGAUAUUAAUGCUGAGGAAACCCUUAACACUUUGAAGUACGCAAAUCGUGCACGCAAUAUCCAAAAUAAGCCUGUUAUCAAUAGAGACCCCAUGUCCAAUGAGAUGCUAAAAAUGCGACAACAGCUAGAGUAUUUGCAGGCAGAACUUUGUGCUCGAGCUGGUGGCUCUUCUGAGGAAGUUCAGGUCCUUAAGGAAAGAAUUGCUUGGCUUGAAGCUGCUAAUGAAGAUCUUUGCCGUGAACUUCAUGAAUACCGUAGUAGAUGUUCUAUUGCAGAACCAGGUGAAAGGGAAGCUUAUGAUGGUAACACAUACAUUGUGAAGACUGAUGCAAUUAAGAGGAGCUUACCUAUCAUAGAAGCUGAGUAUCCAAUGAGUGAAACAGUGGCAGGUGAUUCUAGGGAAAUAGAAGAAGUAGCAAAAGAGUGGGAGCACACACUUCUGCAGAAUAGUAUGGAUAGAGAGUUACAUGAAUUGAAUAAACGCUUGCAACAGAAAGAGUCCGAGAUGAAGCUUUUUGGAAUAUCUGAUGCCGAAGUACUCAAGCAGCAUUUUGGUAGAAAGAUAACGGAAUUGGAAGAUGAGAAGAGAGUAGUGCAGCGAGAGAGAGAUUGUCUUUUGGCAGAAGUUGAAAAUCUCGCUGCCAAUUCUGAUGGACAAACACAGAAAUUAGAGGAUAUUCACGCCCAAAAAUUGAAAGCACUUGAAGCACAGAUUAUGGAUCUGAAGAAGAAGCAAGAGAGUCAGGUCCAGCUUCUGAAGCAAAAGCAAAAAAGUGAUGAAGCAGCAAAGAGACUGCAAGAUGAAAUACAGUGUAUAAAGGCUCAAAAGGUUCAAUUGCAGCAAAGGAUAAAACAAGAAUCGGAACAGUUUCGGCAGUGGAAGGCUUCAAGAGAGAAAGAGUUGUUGCAAUUAAAGAAGGAGGGAAGAAGAAAUGAGUAUGAAAGACACAAGCUGCAAGCUUUAAAUCAGCGGCAGAAAUUGGUUCUUCAGAGAAAAACUGAAGAAGCUGCGAUGGCUACCAAGAGGUUAAAGGAGUUGUUAGAAGCACGUAAAACUUCCGGCCGAGAGACUUCAGUUACAACGAAUGGAAGUGGAACAAAUGCUCAGAGCAAUGAGAAGUCUUUACAACGGUGGCUUGAUCAUGAGCUAGAAGUUAUGGUAAAGGAGCACGAAGUCCGUUUUGAGUAUGAGAAACAGAGCCAAGUGCGAGCUGCCCUUGCAGAUGAAUUAGCCAUGCUGAAGCAAGUAAAUGAGUUUGCUGCAAAGGGUCUCAGUCCUCCAAGAAAGAAUGGAUUUGCCAGGGCAUCCUCCAUGUCACCAAAUGCAAGAAUGGCCAGAAUAGCUUCCCUUGAGAACAUGCUGAGUAUAUCAUCUAAUUCACUUGUUGCAAUGGCUUCUCAACUUUCUGAGGCAGAAGAACGAGAAAGAGCCUUCUCUAAUCGUGGACGCUGGAAUCAAUUGCGUUCAAUGGGAGAAGCGAAGAAUUUGCUUCAAUAUAUGUUUAAUUCUGUUGCAGAUGCUAGGUGCCAACUCUGGGAGAAGGACAUGGAGAUCAGGGAAAUGAAAGAUCAAAUAAAAGAACUCGUUGGUCUCUUACGGCAAAGUGAGAUGAAGAGAAAAGAAGUUGAGAAGGAACUAAAAGUGAGAGAACAAGCUAAUGGAAGCACACUGGCUACACCACCUUCGGGUGACUCCCCUAAUCCAUUGAAACAACAAGCUGAAGACAUGAAAGGGCCUUUAUCUCCAAUGUCUAUGCCAGUGCCUAAACAGCUAAAAUACACGCCAGGGGUUGCCAAUGGGUUGGUGAGGGAAUCGGCAGCAUUUGUAGAUCAGGGUAGAAGGAUGAUACCCAUCGGACACCUGUCAAUGAAAAAACUAGCAAUGGUAGGACAAGCUUCUGGAAAGUUAUGGAGGUGGAAAAGAAGUCAUCACCAGUGGCUGCUACAAUUCAAGUGGAAAUGGCAGAAACCAUGGAGACUUUCAGAAUGGAUACGACAUAGUGAUGAGACGAUCAUGAGAACAAAACCACGCUCACAGGCUUUGCCACGUAUCAGGUGAUCUGUUUUAGGAUCAGCCUAUUCAUGUGGCUCGGUAUUUUUCGAACCACAAAAAUUAUCCUAGAUACAUGGCAUUGGAAAUAACAGAGCACUAGGUACAGUGUAAUAUAAUUGGUUGCUGAAGCAAUGUAUAUACCUGCCAGUCUUGAAUAAUGCUGUCCAGAUCUUUGGAAAUUUUGCCAUAAUUUUGUGCAUAGGGAUGAUCUUGGAGGUAUGUUGCAAUGUAAUGUUUGGACAGCGCACCCAAAUAAUGAAAAACAAAGAUGUCGCUUGCUUGAAGACAAUCGUAGAUUCUGGACAGACAAACUAUCUUGGAAAAUAGUCUGUUCAUACUAACAGUACAAGAAACAAAGGAAAGAAUUUUUUGUCAAGUCUUGGGAAGCUUAUUGUGUAUGUUAUUCUUUAUUGCAAGCUCUUACGGUCCUAUUGUGUUUAAGAAAAUUGAUUUUUGUUUAUAGGUUCUAUUUUGUAGCAUUUGUCACAUAACAGAAGGAAAUUCCUGGGUAGUUUUUUAGUUCUCUAGUGCUUCGUGUGUGUAAAGAAAGUUAGCUGCUAUAUUGAAAGAUAUUUUACCAUACAGAUUGUAUUAUAAUAACGUAAGCUACUGUUUCAUCUUA
This is an RNA transcript of Vigna angularis (adzuki bean), 4027 nucleotides long. It is a transcript of the gene named kinesin-like protein KIN-4A, with no coding region annotated. NCBI's taxonomy places the organism in Eukaryota, Viridiplantae, Streptophyta, Magnoliopsida, Fabales, Fabaceae. The record is from RefSeq and is a predicted model, not a curated record. The transcript is spliced from 26 exons.